Molecule: long non-coding RNA, 241 nt
Filed under: Ananas comosus (pineapple)
Lineage: Eukaryota; Viridiplantae; Streptophyta; Magnoliopsida; Poales; Bromeliaceae
Description: long non-coding RNA (ACOM_LNC017642)
Source: RNAcentral
UAUUUCGAAAUAUGUAAGCCUCCCCCUCAGCAGCGUUAUGAGCGUAGAAAUAUUUAGGUAUAUACAUCAAUCAGUAAGAAGAGGAUGAACGUUGCCGGCCAGUGAAAGCAAAACAAUGUCUUGCAUCCCAUGAAGCAUCAACCCAGCAAUUAUAGAUCACAACUGUCAACUCCUAUAAGAUACAACACUACACUUACCGGACUGAUUUUUACGUUGAUCAUUGCGAUCAACUUCUUUGAUA